UGUUAAAAUGUUCAUCUAUUUCUAUUAUUAAAAACUGAUGUGACUGAUGACAUAUGUACCUCAUUCUAACAUACAUGGACUAAUUUUUAAUCAUAGAAAUGAAUAGACUUUUUAACA
This 117-nucleotide microRNA precursor is filed under the name Gossypium arboreum. Its description in RNAcentral is "MIR7502 microRNA precursor family". It matches the Rfam family "MIR7502 microRNA precursor family". The record is from Rfam by way of RNAcentral. Lineage: Eukaryota; Viridiplantae; Streptophyta; Magnoliopsida; Malvales; Malvaceae.